GGGUUUGAUCCUGGCUCAGGAUGAACGCUUGCGGCGCGCUUAAAACGUGCAAGUCGAACGGACCUCUUUUUCUUCGGAAGCUGAGGUUAGUGGCAGACGGGUGCGUAACACGUGGGUUACCUGCCCCGGAGUGGGGGAUAACUAUUCGAAAGGAUAGCUAAUACCGCAUAUUCUUGGUUCGCCAAGGAAAGUUCCGGCGCUCUGGGAGGGGCUCGCGGCCGAUUAGCUUGUUGGUGAGGUAAUGGCUCACCAAGGCGAUGAUCGGUAGCUGGUCUGAGAGGAUGAUCAGCCACACUGGCACUGAGACACGGGCCGGACUCCUACGGGAGGCAGCAGUUAGGAAUAUUGCGCAAUGGACGAAAGUCUGACGCAGCGACGCCGCGUGGGUGAUGAAGGCCUUCGGGUCGUAAAGCCCUUUUCUGGGGGAAGAGGAAGGACGGUACCCCAGGAAUAAGUCUCGGCUAACUACGUGCCAGCAGCCGCGGUAAAACGUAGGAGGCAAGCGUUAUCCGGAUUUACUGGGCGUAAAGCGCGUGCAGGUGGCUUUGUAAGUCGGACGUGAAAUCUCCCGGCUCAACUGGGAGGCGUCGUUCGAAACUGCGGGGCUUGAGGAUGGGAGAGGGAAGCGGAAUUCCCGGUGUAGCGGUGGAAUGCGCAGAUAUCGGGAGGAACACCAGUGGCGAAGGCGGCUUCCUGGCCCGUUCCUGACACUCAAGCGCGAAAGCGUGGGUAGCGAACGGGAUUAGAUACCCCGGUAGUCCACGCCGUAAACGAUGGAUGCUAGGUGUUGGGGGUGUUGACCCCCUCAGUGCCGAAGCUAACGCGAUAAGCAUCCCGCCUGGGGACUACGGCCGCAAGGCUAAAACUCAAAGGAAUUGACGGGGGCCCGCACAAGCAGCGGAGCGUGUGGUUUAAUUCGAUUCAACGCGCAGAACCUUACCUGGGUUUGACAUGCUUGGAUGCCCGCCUGGAAACAGGUUGGGCUGCCCUUCGGGGUGAAACUUGCACAGGUGCUGCAUGGCUGUCGUCAGCUCGUGUCGUGAGAUGUCGGGUUAAGUCCUUUAACGAGCGAAACCCUUGCCGUUAGUUGCCAGCGGGUCAUGCCGGGGACUCUAGCGGGACUGCCGGUGUUAAACCGGAGGAAGGUGGGGAUGACGUCAAGUCAUCAUGGCCUUUAUGCCCAGGGCCUCACACGUGCUACAAUGGCGGAUACAGAGCGAAGCAAGACCGCGAGGUGGAGCAAAUCGCAAAAAGUCCGCCCCAGUUCGGAUUGCAGGCUGUCAACUCGCCUGCAUGAAGGUGGAAUCGCUAGUAAUCGCGUAUCAGCUAUGACGCGGUGAAUGUGUUCCUGAGCCUUGUACACACCGCCCGUCAAGUGAUGGGAGUUGGGAGUACCCGAAGUCGGGUUGCCAACCUUUCGAGGGGGCGCCUGCCGACGGUAAGCCCGAUGACUGGCACUAAGUCGGAACAAGGUA
Molecule: ribosomal RNA, 1475 nt
Filed under: metagenome
Description: bacterial SSU rRNA
Rfam family: Bacterial small subunit ribosomal RNA
Source: RNAcentral